RNAcentral lists this ribosomal RNA (944 nucleotides) under Mycoplasmopsis primatum. RNAcentral's name for it is "bacterial LSU rRNA". The stretch from base 448 to 944 matches the Rfam family "Bacterial large subunit ribosomal RNA", at positions 1 to 497 of the family's 2925-position model. Lineage: Bacteria; Bacillati; Mycoplasmatota; Mycoplasmoidales; Metamycoplasmataceae. The record is from RNAcentral.
CGCCCGUCAAACCAUGGGAGCUGGUAAUGCCCGAAGUCGGUUUAUAAAGAAACUGCCUAAGGCAGGACUGGUGACUGGGGUUAAGUCGUAACAAGGUAUCCCUACGAGAACGUGGGGAUGGAUUACCUCCUUUCUACGGAGUACACACGUCUUUCGUUUUUUAGUAAAGACAUAACCAAAGUUAUUUACAGACCUGUUAUUUAUAUAUUUUAUGUCAUGGGCUUUUAAUAAGGUCGGAGCUUUAUAUCUAGUUUUGAGAGAGCAUUCUCUCUUUGUUCUUUGAAAACUGAAUAGUAAAAUAUUUUUCGAUAUUUACAACGACAUCAAAAAUCAAAUUAAAAAUUUAAUGGUUAAUUUGUUUUGAUUCAUCGAGUAAAUCAUAUUAAUUAUGAUUCAUUGAAAUGUCUUAAAAUACACAUCUUAAACUAAACAAUAGGAAAAUACUACUUUUAAAUAAGUAAGAGUUUGUGGUGGAUGCCUUGGGUCUGGAAGUCGAUGAAGGACGUGAUUACCUGCGAUAAGCCUCGUGGAGCCGGAAAUGUGCUAUGAAACGGGGAUUUCCGAAUGGGGAAACCUAACUAGGGUAAUGCCUAGUUGCCUAUGUCUGAAUUCAUAGGACAUAGAGUGAGACACCUUGUGAACUGAAGCAUCUUAGUAGCAAGAGGAAAAGAAAAUAAAUAAUGAUUUCUUUAGUAGCGGCGAGCGAACGAGAAAGAGCCCAAACCAUUUUAAAUGGGGUUAUAGGACAGACUACAUAGAGUUACAAAAUCUAAUGAUAGCAGAAGCUUUUGGGAAGAAGCGGCGUAGAGGGUGAUACCCCCGUAUGUGAAAUUAUUAGAUCUCUUGGCUGUAUCCUGAGUAGGGCGGGGCACGUGAAACCCUGUCUGAAUUUGCCGGGACCACCCGGUAAGGCUAAAUACUAACCAGACACCGAUAGUGAACUA